Long non-coding RNA from Astatotilapia calliptera (eastern happy), 1887 nucleotides. Lineage: Eukaryota; Metazoa; Chordata; Actinopteri; Cichliformes; Cichlidae. The record is from Ensembl.
CCCACAUAUCUGUGGGCAAGAUGCAAACCUCAAGUUGCUCUCCAGUGGUGGGUGACUGUUAGUUAGAAAGCACUUAAAAGCAUAGAAAAAAGUGAAUGUUGCAUGUUGCAGUUUUCUUGCAGUGCAUUUGACCUCUCAGGGCACGUACUAGUGAUGUGUCGGUCGGGAACGAAAUGGCUCUUUGACGUGAACGACGCGAGCCGGCUCCUUAUUGCGAGCAGGGGGGGGCUAUAUUUCUUUCUCUCACCCUCUCUCUCUCACUUUUUUACCGCGUCACUCCGCACGCGAGCCUUGUGCUUGCGCUGGGCAGAGGGGGGGGGCGGUAGUUACACUCUCAGUAGCUCAGGAACAGAGCGGGAGGGAGAGAGAGAGAGAGCCAGGGACAACAACGUCACAUUAGAAAGGUAUAGUAAUCAUCCACAACUAUUUUCAGUUGCAGAUGAUAAAGGAUUCAGAAAGUUUAUUCAUGCAGGUCCAUAUGACAGAGAAUGUGCAUCUUCUUUUUGUUUUCAUAUUAUAAUUUAUAUUUAAUUGUGUUGUGGUUUGGAGUGUUUUGUGUUGUUUCAUUUUUAAUUUGUUUAAAAGGAAAAAGCUGAAAAUUUGAAUAGUUAUAAGUUGAACUGGGAAUAGUUCGUUUUUGUAUUAUAUGAUUUGUUUAUUACAUUUUAUGUGGAGUGAAUAAAUAAAAGUAUAUUUACGGUGGCCCCUACAGACAAAGCACGUACAAACUCCAAAACACAUAAAAAGACAGCAGACGUGCUCCAGGAUGCUGGGCGCAGUGUUGAGCUUUUGUUACCUCGUGGCUACACAAGCCAGCAAGUACCAACGACUGGAUUUGGUGUGUGGUAAUAACAGGUAAAUGAACAUUUUUUUAAAAUUAUUUGAAUAUAUAUGAGUGCUUGUGUAUAAAUACACAAACAAUACACACAUGCUUUCAAUUGUGUACUUUAAGUGAUCUAGGUAGCUGUGUUUUGUAGUUUGUACGUGCUUUGUCUCUAGGGGCCACCGUAAAUAUUUAUAUAUAAACAUAUAUAAAUAAAACCACUUUUUUUUACAUUAGUAAUUCCUUUUGUGCGUAAUUUUAUAUUAUUGUUAAUAAUAAACUAAUUAAAGCAACAAAACAACCUGAAGAGCCGGUUCGGAGCCGAAAGAGCCGGCUCUCUAAAAAGAGCCGGAAAUCCCAUCACUAGCACGUACAAUUGCCCAUAGCAUGUAAAAACUGUGGGAGCAUGGUAAGAGAAAUCUUAUCUCUGAAGGUGAAAGUAAAAGGCUUAGUAAGACUUAACAGAAACUACAUUCUUGCGAAAUAAGCUGACAUUGAUUUAAAAAAAAAAAAAAAAAGUCUCUCACAUAUAAAUCUGUUGUUAAUAUUUUCUCUUCACAGCAGCCAGAAUCUGACCUGUGACACACAAAAAAAUGGAGAACUGCUAUUUUAACCCACUCCCACUCUUUUCUUAAGCUUGAGCUUUAAGUAGUUCUGCGUUGUGAAAUAGAAACCACUGAUAGAUUGGUGAAGUGUCUCAGGCCAGCCAGUAUUUUAAUCCGCCCAGGCGUUUGGCAGCCUGUGCCCAUCAUAUCCCUCCUGCUGUUAGGUCAUUAAUUUGGUGGGAGCAGUGGGUCUUCCAAAACACUCUUAAUAGAGGCUGUCUGAUUCACACACAUGCACAUAUGCAGAAAAGCAAGCACUGCAUGACAACUGAAGACAGAAAAUGAAAAAGAGUUACAGUCAUAUCCUAAAAGGUUAAAGCCAAUCCUGCAGCUCCUGCAGAUUUAUUACACCGCAGCAUGGAUGCCCCGAAGUCAUGGAAGAGACUGAUUACUCCUGACACAUGUAAAUAUCAAAGUUAAUUGUGCAUUCCUAGUCUGUGUGCACAGUGUUUAGAAACG